CCUACGGGUGGCAGCAGUGGGGAAUAUUGCACAAUGGGGGAAACCCUGAUGCAGCGACGCCGCGUGAGUGAAGAAGUAUUUCGGUAUGUAAAGCUCUAUUAGCAGGGAAGAAAAUGACGGUACCUGUUUAAGAAGCCCCGGCUAACUACGUGCCAGCAGCCGCGGUAAUACGUAGGGGGCAAGCGUUAUCCGGAUUUACUGGGUGUAAAGGGAGCGUAGACGGCAGCACAAGUCUGGAGUGAAAUGCCGGGGCUUAACCCCGGAACUGCUUUGGAAACUGUGCAGCUAGAGUGCAGGAGAGGUAAGUGGAAUGCCUGGUGUAGCGGUGAAAUGCUUAGAGAUUAGGAAGAACACCAGUGGCGAAGGCGGCUUACUGGACUAUAACUGACGUUGAGGCUCGAAAGCGUGGGGAGCAAACAGGAUUAGAUACCCGAGUAGUC
RNAcentral lists this ribosomal RNA (440 nucleotides) under uncultured bacterium. RNAcentral's name for it is "partial 16S ribosomal RNA". It matches the Rfam family "Bacterial small subunit ribosomal RNA", at positions 338 to 795 of the family's 1533-position model. The record is from RNAcentral.